GAUGAAGAACGUAGUGAAAUGCGAUAAGUAAUGUGAAUUGCAGAAUUCAGUGAAUCAUCGAAUCUUUGAACGCACCUUGCACCCUUUGGCAUUCUGAAGGGUAUGCUCGUUUGAGUGUCAUUGUACUCUCACACUCCCGAUCUUUGCAUUGGGAGCAGUGGACUUGGGUUUGCUGCUUCACCGUCGCUUACCUCAAAUAGGUUAGUGCAACUCUUGGUUGGACAUAGUACGGCGUGAUAAGUGUUCUUCGCCGGUGCCUCGCAAAGAGGGUGGCUGAUCGGGAUGUUGUGCUCCAAACCGUCUUCGGACAAUCUCUGACGACUUGACCUCAAAUCGAGUAAGACUACCCGCUGAACUUAAGCAUAUCAAUAAGCGGAGGA
This 380-nucleotide unclassified non-coding RNA is filed under the name soil metagenome. RNAcentral's name for it is "partial contains 5.8S ribosomal RNA, internal transcribed spacer 2, and large subunit ribosomal RNA". The stretch from base 1 to 120 matches the Rfam family "5.8S ribosomal RNA", at positions 35 to 154 of the family's 154-position model. The record is from RNAcentral.